This is a long non-coding RNA of Orbicella faveolata, 412 nucleotides long. Lineage: Eukaryota; Metazoa; Cnidaria; Anthozoa; Scleractinia; Merulinidae. The record is from RefSeq and is a predicted model, not a curated record.
AUUUUGCGAAUUCUUCGCGUAAGGGUUACCUCGACGACCUCAGGAGUGUUGAAUGUGAUUCUGACCUCCAAAUCUGUACAAGCAAACUACAUCCAACUGAAUAAGCACCGUGAUAACAUCCAUUAUAUAUCAUGAAGGUCUGGAUGGGAUGCAAACGUCAUCUCAGGGGAUUCCCCGAAUUGUGAUUUGCAAGUGUCCUCUGCAACUCUACGUUGGAUCAAAAGUGAUCUAAUCUAAUAGAAAAUGAAGAAUAUAUAAAAGUAGAGACCGAUACAACGCCAAAGGAUGGUUUUAAAUUUGGUGUACUUUCGGCUGGCCACACUAGCCUUCUUCAAGUACAAUGACAAUUUUACGGUAAGAAAUCAGUCUCAGUCAAAGAAAAAAAGCAAGAAGUGCUAAGUAAGAAGAUACU